GACGGACGCUGGCGGCGUGCUUAACACAUGCAAGUCGAACGGUGAAGCGCCUUCCUUUUUGGUGGGUGUGGAUGAGUGGCGAACGGGUGAGUAACACGUGAGUAACCUGCCCCCUUCUUCUGGAUAACCGCAUGAAAGUGUGGCUAAUACGGGAUAUUCUGGGUCUGUCGCAUGAUGGGUCUGGGAAAGAUAUUGUUUCGGUGGGGGAUGGGCUCGCGGCCUAUCAGCUUGUUGGUGGGGUGAUGGCCUACCAAGGCGGUGACGGGUAGCCGGCCUGAGAGGGUGGACGGUCACACUGGGACUGAGACACGGCCCAGACUCCUACGGGAGGCAGCAGUGGGGAAUAUUGCACAAUGGGCGCAAGCCUGAUGCAGCGACGCCGCGUGAGGGAUGGAGGCCUUCGGGUUGUGAACCUCUUUCGCCAGUGAAGCAGGCCUGCCUCGUUUGUGGGUGGGUUGACGGUAGCUGGAGAAGAAGCGCCGGCUAACUACGUG
Molecule: ribosomal RNA, 494 nt
Filed under: uncultured bacterium
Lineage: Bacteria
Description: partial 16S ribosomal RNA
Rfam family: Bacterial small subunit ribosomal RNA
Source: RNAcentral